AGGAAUUUUCCGCAAUGGGCGAAAGCCUGACGGAGCGACGCCGCGUGUGGGAAGAAGGCCUUCGGGUCGUAAACCACUGUCGAAGGGGAAGAUAUUGACGGUACCCUUGGAGGAAGCCCCGGCUAACUACGUGCCAGCAGCCGCGGUAAGACGUAGGGGGCGAGCGUUAUUCGGAAUUAUUGGGCGUAAAGCGCUCGUAGGCGGGGUCGAAAGUCCGUAAAGAAAGACCUGAGCUCAACUCAGGGAACGGUACGGAUACUUCGACUCUUGAGGCAAUCAGAGGGUGAUGGAAUUCCCGGUGUAGCUGUGAAAUGCGUAGAUAUCGGGAGGAACACCAGUGGCGAAGGCGAUCACCUGGGGUUGAACUGACGCUGAGGAGCGAAAGCUAGGGGAGCAAACG
Molecule: ribosomal RNA, 400 nt
Filed under: uncultured bacterium
Lineage: Bacteria
Description: bacterial SSU rRNA
Rfam family: Bacterial small subunit ribosomal RNA
Source: RNAcentral